This 933-nucleotide ribosomal RNA is filed under the name Lactiplantibacillus plantarum. Its description in RNAcentral is "Lactobacillus plantarum partial 16S ribosomal RNA". It matches the Rfam family "Bacterial small subunit ribosomal RNA", at positions 50 to 983 of the family's 1533-position model. Lineage: Bacteria; Bacillati; Bacillota; Bacilli; Lactobacillales; Lactobacillaceae. The record is from RNAcentral.
UAUACAUGUCAGUCACACCGGACUCUGGUAUUGAUUGGUGCUUGCAUCAUGAUUUACAUUUGAGUGAGUGGCGAACUGGUGAGUAACACGUGGGAAACCUGCCCAGAAGCGGGGGAUAACACCUGGAAACAGAUGCUAAUACCGCAUAACAACUUGGACCGCAUGGUCCGAGUUUGAAAGAUGUCUUCGGCNAUCAUUUUUGGAUGGCCCCGGGGCUUAUUAGCUAGAUGGUGAGGUAACGGCUCACAAUGGCAAUGACACGUAGCCGACCUGAGAGGGAAUUCCGCCACUUUGGGACUGAAACCCGGCCCACCUCUUNCGGGACCNGCUUUAGAAAAUCUUCCNAAUGAAAAAAAUUCUGAUNANCCACCCCGNGAAAAAGAAAANNUUUCGGCUNAAUACUUUUUUUAAAAAAACNUUUAAAAAAAUUUUUAGGUUUGAGGUUUUANCAAAANCCCCGGUUAUUACNUGCCCCACCGCAUANAUUUAGGGGAAGGUUUGCCGUUUUUUUGGGAAAAACGGACCCCGGGGGUUUUUUUAAUUCUAAAGGAAAAACCCUUCCCCCCCCCCCAAAAAAAUCCCCCCNAAAAAUGGGAAACUUUUGGGGGGAAAAAAAAAAAAGGGGAACCCCCCGUGGGUGGGGGGGGAAAGGGGUAAAUAUUUGGGAAAAAACCCCUUGGGAAAAAGGGGGGUUCUGGUUGGUUCUUAACCCUAAGCCCCAAAUUUGGGGUAACAAAAGGGUUUAAAACCCCGGGUGCCCCCUCCCCCAAAAAAAAAGGAAGUGUUGGGGGGUUUCCCCCCCUCCUGUGGGGCGCCAACAUUUAAACAUCCCCCCCGGGGGGGCGGGGCGCAGGGUUAAAACAAAGAAUUAAGGGGGCCCCCCACCGGGGGGACAGGGGGUUUUUUUUAAUCCCCAAAACAUACCGGGCUGUG